UACAGAGGGUGCAAGCGUUAAUCGGAAUUACUGGGCGUAAAGCGUGCGUAGACGGUUACAUAAGUCGGGUGUGAAAUCCCCGGGCUUAACCUGGGAACCGCAUUUGUGACUGCAUAGCUGGAGUACGGCAGAGGGGGAUGGAAUUCCGCGUGUAGCAGUGAAAUGCGUAGAUAUGCGGAGGAACACCGAUGGCGAAGGCAGUCCCCUGGGCCUGUACUGACGCUCAUGCACGAAAGCGUGGGGAGCAAACAGG
This 253-nucleotide ribosomal RNA is filed under the name uncultured bacterium. Its description in RNAcentral is "partial 16S ribosomal RNA". It matches the Rfam family "Bacterial small subunit ribosomal RNA", at positions 524 to 776 of the family's 1533-position model. The record is from RNAcentral.